GAUGAACGCUGGCGGCGUGCUUAACACAUGCAAGUCGAACGGGAAACCUUUUAUUGAAGCUUCGGCAGAUUUAACUGGUUUCUAGUGGCGGACGGGUGAGUAACGCGUGGGUAACCUGCCUUGUACAGGGGGAUAACAGUCAGAAAUGACUGCUAAUACCGCAUAAGCGCACAGGACCGCAUGGUCCGGUGUGAAAAACUCCGGUGGUAUAAGAUGGACCCGCGUUGGAUUAGCUAGUUGGCAGGGUAACGGCCUACCAAGGCGACGAUCCAUAGCCGGCCUGAGAGGGUGAACGGCCACAUUGGGACUGAGACACGGCCCAGACUCCUACGGGAGGCAGCAGUGGGGAAUAUUGCACAAUGGGGGAAACCCUGAUGCAGCGACGCCGCGUGAAGGAAGAAGUAUCUCGGUAUGUAAACUUCUAUCAGCAGGGAAGAAAAUGACG
This 445-nucleotide ribosomal RNA is filed under the name uncultured bacterium. RNAcentral describes it as "bacterial SSU rRNA". It matches the Rfam family "Bacterial small subunit ribosomal RNA", at positions 28 to 456 of the family's 1533-position model. The record is from RNAcentral.